AUGGGCACAGGACGGUGCCCCGCAGGGGCGCCCAGCGCGCUCCCUGGACAUCUUCCGAGCCACAGGGCGAGGAAAGGCACCCCAAGCCGCUGGGUGGGCUUCGCAAGCGGAACACAGGAGAGCCCCCAAACCUGUGACUCCAGGGCCUCGCUCUACAGGGAGAGCCGCCCUGCCUGCCGGGCCAUGUGGCACCCGCUGGUCCUGAUGCUGCUGCUGUUCCCUGCCGUCUCCAUCCCCAGCGCCACUGCCGCUCCCAUCCCGGAUGCCAGGAGCCAGGACAGCCUGCAGAUCGUGCUCCAAGGUGCUCAAGCUGGAGGAAACAGAGCGCCCUGGGCAUUCCCAAAUCGAGUCCCUCACUCUGGCUGUCCUCCUGGGUUAUGAGGUGGCUGCUGUGGUGGUGCAGCCCCAAAGCCCAGGAAGCUGGCCUGUAGUUCUGUGAGAAGCCUCCAUGGCUACAGGCCAUCUACAACAGGCUUCUUAAAGGGGGCCCACCUGGAAGGGAGACCUGGGUCCUCCCUCAGCUCAAACAGCCCACCCCCAAGACCUACUUCAGGCUAAUCAGCAGCUGUCGGGGCUGGGGGUGGGCACCAGGGCACUGGCGGGGGACAGACAUGUAUCUUUACCAGCCCCCAUCCUCAGCUCCAUGUAGAAAUAAAGUUUCUUACAGCCAGCUGUGCUAUUUCUUUCACAGCCAGUCCCCAUCACCUAGCCAACCAAAAAUAAUUUCUUCCAUCUAAUUUACAAGCUCCUGUGGCAGCAACAUGGUGUGUGAUGCUUACCAGAGAGUGUGGCUCACAUUUAGUUCUCAAAAACAUUUUGUUGACAAGAAUAGAUGUACACAGUUGAGUCCACUGCGUGCUGUCUGGAUGGACCCCCUUCUCUGAUGCUCCAGCCCCAAGCUCCAACUUCAAUAUUGCCUAAAGUGGUGAUCACAUUGGACUGUUUAAAAAUAUUAGAGUCCUAUUGUCCUAAUGAUGAAAUUGAAGAUAACACAUGUUGAUGGGUCGGUGAAAAGAAAUAGGUCAUUCAUCAUGGGGGACCUCUACCUCUGUUCAUAGGUGAAGAAGCACUAUUUGUUAAAUUAAGUUGUGAGGUUAAAGUGAUGACAUAUUCCUCUUUGGUUCUGUGUUCUGGUGUCUGUGUGUCUGGGCCUAUGGCAACAUGGGCAUGGGCAACUAUAUACUCCAGCCUGUGAGGGUAGGUCCCUGCUUGAUCCAAGCCAGAGGAGCUGGCCCACAGUGGCAGCUACCUUUAGUAGAUGGUGGAGCCAAAUAAACGUGGGGACAUAGAAAAAAGGGGCAGGCAGGGGGCUGAGCUGGAGGCCAGAGAGGUCAAGACUGCUGAUGGAGUGGGCCUGGCAUAAGGCCAGAUGGGUGGAUCAGGUGGCAAUUAUAAACUGGGCUCGGGGG
RNAcentral lists this long non-coding RNA (1409 nucleotides) under Canis lupus familiaris (dog). RNAcentral describes it as "lncRNA (ENSCAFG00845013133.1)". The record is from RNAcentral. Lineage: Eukaryota; Metazoa; Chordata; Mammalia; Carnivora; Canidae.